AACUGAUACUACCUGCGGGAACCUGCGGAGGGAUCAUUACCGAGUAAUCCUGCUUGCAGGAACUCCCACCCUUGUGUAUUGACAGUUGCUUCGGCGAGACGCUGGAGACAGCCAUUGUCGGCGUUCGACGGCGUUGAAUUUCGACGCCUGGGAUGCCACGAUGUGUGCUCGCCGAAGACUUACAUACUCUGAGAUUUAUGUAUUGUCAGACAAUCAAGCAAUAUAUUAAAACUUUCAACA
This 240-nucleotide unclassified non-coding RNA is filed under the name soil metagenome. Its description in RNAcentral is "partial contains 5.8S ribosomal RNA, internal transcribed spacer 2, and large subunit ribosomal RNA". The record is from RNAcentral.